Molecule: long non-coding RNA, 347 nt
Filed under: Capra hircus (goat)
Lineage: Eukaryota; Metazoa; Chordata; Mammalia; Artiodactyla; Bovidae
Description: lncRNA (ENSCHIG00010010921.1)
Source: RNAcentral
GUGCACGCUCAAUUGCUCACUUGUGUCAGACUCUGUGAUUCUUUACUGCUGAGCCACUAGGGAAGCCCAGUGUGGGGCACAUCAGCGCUUUAUUUGAGGUGACGACAGAGAUCUCUAGUUGUUUCCUUCCUUUCCUUUUCUAACAGAAUAACAUUAACACGUAUGCUACCGGUCUGCGGCUCCGACGCUUAUCAAGAGGAGACGUUGCCUGGGUUGCUCUGUGUUCAUCUGACCCUGGUGCCCUCUCUGAUCUACCAGCCAGAUGGGAUCUCACUUGAAGAAGGGGACAAGUCAGCACAAUGCGCUGAAUGCCCGAGGCUCCAUCCGGACGUGCUGCUCUCUGCACC